GGAUGGGACUUUAUCUGGCUGCAACAUCUGUCACUCCAUUGAUGAAUGAGUAAUGGACUGAGUAAUGAUGACUGGUGUCCCCUUCUUCCCCCACUCCUCCAUGUGUGUCCUUCAGGCAGCUUGGCACUCUGUUGAAGGCAUGCUCUUCUGCAAUACUGGGAGACCCUACUGUAGGGGAAG
Molecule: small nuclear RNA, 180 nt
Filed under: Cricetulus griseus (Chinese hamster)
Lineage: Eukaryota; Metazoa; Chordata; Mammalia; Rodentia; Cricetidae
Description: 7SK RNA
Rfam family: 7SK RNA
About the family: 7SK was discovered as an abundant small nuclear RNA in the mid-70s but a possible function has only recently been suggested. Two independent studies have found that 7SK RNA binds the CDK9/cyclin T complex (known as elongation factor P-TEFb). P-TEFb activates transcription by phosphorylating the C-terminal domain of RNA polymerase II.
Source: Rfam by way of RNAcentral